UCCGUAGGUGAACCUGCGGAAGGAUCAUUACCGGUCUGCCAGCCAGCCAGCCAGCCAGACAGCCAGCCCAAGGCUGCUGCUGCUGCU
This 87-nucleotide ribosomal RNA is filed under the name Epinephelus moara (kelp grouper). RNAcentral's name for it is "partial 18S ribosomal RNA". Lineage: Eukaryota; Metazoa; Chordata; Actinopteri; Perciformes; Serranidae. The record is from RNAcentral.